This is an RNA transcript of Coffea eugenioides, 1161 nucleotides long. It is a transcript of the gene named protein DECREASED SIZE EXCLUSION LIMIT 1-like, with no coding region annotated. The record is from RefSeq and is a predicted model, not a curated record. Lineage: Eukaryota; Viridiplantae; Streptophyta; Magnoliopsida; Gentianales; Rubiaceae. The transcript has 11 exons.
UCAAUGUCAAGAGCUCUUGAAGACUGGUUCCUAUACAAAACUCCAUUUUGUCCUCUAGACAAAACUCCAUUUUUUCCAUGAGACCUAGAAGUCUCCCCUCAAUUUCCGGCAUUUGAUUGUACUUGGGAGAGAUUGUAAUCUCGAUUGGAAGGUCCAGAUUUUUUUCUUCUUCUGAGGAGUGGGUGCUUAGAAUUUGAUGGACGAUGGGCUCGAGAUAGAAAAUGGAAGUUCUGUCUAUCUGCCCCUAAUUUGAUAUCUCACCCCAGGAAUGUGCAUGGCGCUUCAAGCAUUUUUAUCUCCUGAAUCAUAGGGCUACCUAAAUGUUUUGACCGGAUAUGAGGAUGGUUCCAUGGCUUGGUGGGAUGUAAGGAAUCCAGGGGUUCCAAUGAAUUCUGUUAAGUUUCAUAAAGAACCAGUUUUGAGCCUUUGUAUUGAUGGGGCAUGCAGUGGUGGUAUCUCUGGAGCUGUUGAUGAAAAACUUGUGUUUUUCUCUUUGGAUUAUCAAUUGGGAUCAGCACUGGUCAAGAAAGAAAUUACAUUGGAGCGACCUGGAAUAGCAGGAACAUCAAUCCGGCCAGAUGGCAAAAUUGCUGCAUUUGCUGGCUGGGAUCACCGGUAUGCUUGAACUAUUCUACACUUUGCACGGAUGAAACCAAUAAAAAGCAAAUGAAGUUCAAAGGAGUUAUCUGAGCUGCCACCGAGAUGAAAAGGGGAAAUAAUUGCUAAGCGAGCCUUUAGGUAUUUUGGUUGUACAAGCGCUUGCUUCAUGGUAACUGGUUGUGCUCUUGGUUCGGUGAAUUUCUAGGAAUCACCAAAAGCUGAAUUCACUCAAGAGAUCUUAACCUUCUCUUCAGCUGACUCCUAUCCAUGUGUACAAGAAGUUAGGAAGCUGAUUCUAGCAGUGAUAAAAGUAAAAUUCAAUUUUCCUGGCAUGUUCUUUAUGGGAAAUCACUUGUGUGAAUGCAACUAUAGAUUACCUCAGAAUCACCAAAAGAAUCAGCUCUUCAAAGCACAAAGCCAUCUGCUGCAGGUUGGCCUAAACUUUCUUAUGUUGACAUCUCACAAAGUACAUUUUUAAUAGAACAAACAGGUUGUCCUAGCAUUUUCCAUGUAUUCGUUCAUUCCUUUUCAAUGUACUCUCUGAGGCAUGCUAAAUAACUC